RNAcentral lists this transfer RNA (105 nucleotides) under Boseongicola sp. SB0675_bin_26. RNAcentral's name for it is "tRNA-Gly". It matches the Rfam family "tRNA". Rfam says of the family: Transfer RNA (tRNA) molecules are approximately 80 nucleotides in length. Their secondary structure includes four short double-helical elements and three loops (D, anti-codon, and T loops). The record is from RNAcentral. Lineage: Bacteria; Pseudomonadati; Pseudomonadota; Alphaproteobacteria; Rhodobacterales; Paracoccaceae.
GCGCCCGUGGUGGAACCGGUAGACACAGACGAUUGCCAUUCGUCCGGGAAUACAAGUUGCUAACCCAACUUUCCCUUGCGGGUUCGAGUCCCGCCGGGCGCACCA